ACGGAAGGCAGCAGUGGGGAAUAUUGGGCAAUGGGGGCAACCCUGACCCAGCAACGCCGCGUGAAGGAAGAAGGCUUUCGGGUUGUAAACUUCUUUUGUCAGGGAAGAGUAGAAGACUGUACCUGGCGAAUAAGCCACGGCUAACUACGUGCCAGCAGCCGCGGUAAUACGUAGGUGGCGAGCGUUGUCCGGAUUUACUGGGUGUAAAGGGCGUGUAGCCGGGACGGCAAGUCAGAUGUGAAAUCCACGGGCUUAACUCGUGAACUGCAUUUGAAACUGUUGAUCUUGAGUAUCGGAGAGGCAAUCGGAAUUCCUUGUGUAGCGGUGAAAUGCGUAGAUAUAAGGAGGAACACCAGAGGCGAAGGCGGAUUGCUGGACGACAACUGACGGUGAGGCGCGAAAGCGUGGGGAGCAAACAGGAUUAGAUACCCUGGUA
RNAcentral lists this ribosomal RNA (436 nucleotides) under uncultured Oscillibacter sp. Its description in RNAcentral is "bacterial SSU rRNA". It matches the Rfam family "Bacterial small subunit ribosomal RNA", at positions 341 to 792 of the family's 1533-position model. Lineage: Bacteria; Bacillati; Bacillota; Clostridia; Eubacteriales; Oscillospiraceae. The record is from RNAcentral.